Molecule: long non-coding RNA, 554 nt
Organism: Oreochromis aureus
Lineage: Eukaryota; Metazoa; Chordata; Actinopteri; Cichliformes; Cichlidae
Exons: 3
Source: RefSeq, a predicted model, not a curated record
GUAAGGUUUGUGUGAAUCUGUGGGAGCGGACACAGAAGCUAAGUCCGAAGAGAGAGAUGUCGUAAGGCAAACGUGGUGUGGAUUUUUGCAUCUAAGUGUAUCUUUGAGGUCGACUACCCGUGGUCCUGAUAUGACUUAUUUGUGAUCUGCAAGAGAAGCCGAGGAACGCUCUGAAAGGAGAGGGAGAGAGAGGUUUCUGUCCGGAUGGACCCUGCUGUUUUCUUGCCCCCUGACUGUCUUCACUACUAAUGAACUAACUGCUAACUGCCCGUUUCUGAUUGCCCCACUAACAAACUCAUUGGACUCGUCAGGACAGUUGAGGGCAAGCAACAAAAGAGUCACAGUGUAGGAACUCAGCAGAGCAACAGGAAGAAACAAGAUUGAGUUUGCAGUUGGAUUUCAAGGAAGACCUGGUAUUGAUCCAUGAAUUUGUUUGUAGAACUGCCUUGGAGCAUUUGCAUCCAUGUACAUAAUAUAUGGACUGUUAACUUGGAGUGUUUUAGUUCUUUUUUUUUAAGUCCCUGAGCUUGAUUUUAACUGUAAAUAAAUCAAAU